Molecule: long non-coding RNA, 107 nt
Organism: Haliotis rubra (blacklip abalone)
Lineage: Eukaryota; Metazoa; Mollusca; Gastropoda; Lepetellida; Haliotidae
Exons: 3
Source: RefSeq, a predicted model, not a curated record
UGCUUCAAAUCCAUGUACUUGAACAUGCCAUGAACACACAGUAAAUAUCGGGUUGUCUUCCAUAAUUUGACUCAGAGUACCGGAGUCAAAAUGAACUUUCUCAACUU